RNAcentral lists this long non-coding RNA (1499 nucleotides) under Androctonus crassicauda. Lineage: Eukaryota; Metazoa; Arthropoda; Arachnida; Scorpiones; Buthidae. The record is from RNAcentral.
UUAAACAAUUAACUUACAAAAAUUAUAAAUAUUUCUAUUUUUUUUCUUUUGUGAUGUGUGACACGCCACGAAAAUUGUUUCGAUUUUUCAAAAUUUUGACACACCGAGCUCAAAAGGUUCGCCAUCACUGGUCUAGCCACGUUCGCUCAUAUAACAUUGUGCGCGCCAACAAUUGUAUAAACAUGCUGGAAACUGUUGAAAGAUGGCAGAGAAGUUCGCAAGGCAUGUGUAAAAAUUGUAUUUUUAUUUCAAAGGGAGAAUGAGAGAAUAUUCGCGAAUAUAAUAAUGUUUUAUAUUAUGUGGGUUGUUACUUAGCCAUUCAGCGGUCAUUCGUAAUAACUGAUCCAUAUGUUUGUUAAAUAAUUUAUCAAAUUUCGAAUAAUGCAUAUUUUAGGUCACUUGGAGGGUAGAAUUCGGCUUCGAAUUAAAAAUUACAAUGGAUAAUGCGAAAUAUAGUUAAAUGUAUACGUUGAGCUGGAGAUUGUAGGUUGCUUAUAAGGAAUGCUUUGAAUUCGUCGAUAUCGAAUGAAGUUUACUGUAGUUUGUAAUUUUUCGUUUGGUAGAUACAAUAUUUCGAUAUUCAAUGAAUUUAAACAUCAAUUUAAAUAUAACUUGAACUAUGGAGCUUGACAGACUAAAAACUUAAUUGGUCAGUAGGAACAUGAUUAAAUGGCACAUGGACUUCCAACUAAAAGUUCGUCUAAUUAAAGCAAUAGUCUAUUUCGUAAUUUUAUGGUCGUCAAAAACAUUUGUAAUAACAAAUUCACCUAUCGGAACUGAAUAAAGUGAAAUACUAAUUUAGACUGAUUCUGAAAUUCUAUAAAAAUGAGAAGGUUCAGGGUUGAUCAGUGGUUUAUACCAUAUUUAAUAUGAAAAUCGAAAAAUUCAAUAUAAAAUUAGAAUCUGCCAUGUGCGGAGGACGUGCAAAGUCCUUAGGCACUAAGGACUUCGGCUGCCGAAUGCUCGUAAAUAUCAAGUUUGAAUAUGUAAGAAUUGUAGUUAAGAAAAUGAAAUUUUGUAAAUCAUUCGAAUUUUGUUCUAAAAUUAUCAUUCGAUAUUUAAAUGAUUUCAAAAAUAAAAAUUAUAUAAUAAAAAUUCCGUUUUUAAUCCUUAGGUAAGCAUCUAGUGCUAAACCAUCGCAGAUAAUGGAUAUUUUGAAUAUAUGGACUACGCACUAAUUCGUAUAAUUAUGCAUUUAUAAGAUUUGUGAUAUAUUUUAUCAUAGAUUAGAUCCGCUGAUUAUAGAAUGCAAUUUCCCAGGUAGUUGAUUUAAAAAUCUAUAUCCUGGAAUGUAAUUCGAUUGCCGAGGCUAUUUUUGUUAAUAGAUGACGCCACUUUCCACUCGUAGUAAGUCGCGGAACAAAACAAGACCUUCGAGAGGCUGCCCCUCUUGCGGAGAGAUGAGCCGGAUCGUGAAGAUGGGGAUUUACAGAUCGGGCCCGAGUUCCAUGAUAAAUAUUUCCAAGGAAUAAAACCAGGAUCUUGAGGAAAGCCGAAAC